CGGCCUGAAGAGGGUGGACCGGCACCAUUGGGACUGAGGACCACCGGCCAGACUCUACGGGAGCAGCAGUGGGAUAUUGCACAUGGGCGCAAGCCUGAUGCAGCGACGCGCGGUGGAGGGAUGACGGCCUUCGGGUUGUAAACUCUUUCAGUAGGGAAGAAGCGAGAGUGACGGUACUGCAGAAGAAGCGCCGGGCUAACUACGUGCCAGCAGCCGCGGUAAUACGUAGGGCGCAAGCGUUAUCCGGAAUUAUUGGGCGUAAAGAGCUCGUAGGCGGUUUGUCGCGUCUGCCGUGAAAGUCCGGGGCUCAACUCCGGAUCUGCGGUGGGUACGGGCAGACUAGAGUGAUGUAGGGGAGACUGGAAUUCCUGGUGUAGCGGUGAAAUGCGCAGAUAUCAGGAGGAACACCGAUGGCGAAGGCAGGUCUCUGGGCAUUAACUGACGCUGAGGAGCGAAAGCAUGGGGAGCGAACAGGAUUAGAUACCCUGGUAGUCCAUGCCGUAAACGUUGGGCACUAGGUGUGGGGGACAUUCCACGUUUUCCGCGCCGUAGCUAACGCAUUAAGUGCCCCGCCUGGGGAGUACGGCCGCAAGGCUAAAACUCAAAGGAAUUGACGGGGGCCCGCACAAGCGGCGGAGCAUGCGGAUUAAUUCGAUGCAACGCGAAGAACCUUACCAAGGCUUGACAUGAACCGGACCGGGCUGGAAACAGUCUUUCCCCUUGUGGGCUGGUUUACAGGUGGUGCAUGGUUGUCGUCAGCUCGUGUCGUGAGAUGUUGGGUUAAGUCCCGCAACGAGCGCAACCCUCGUUCUAUGUUGCCAGCACGUGAUGGUGGGGACUCAUAGGAGACUGCCGGGGUCAACUCGGAGGAAGGUGGGGACGACGUCAAAUCAUCAUGCCCCUUAUGUCUUGGGCUUCACGCAUGCUACAAUGGCCGGUACAAAGGGUUGCGAUACUGUGAGGUGGAGCUAAUCCCAAAAAGCCGGUCUCAGUUCGGAUUGGGGUCUGCAACUCGACCCCAUGAAGUCGGAGUCGCUAGUAAUCGCAGAUCAGCAACGCUGCGGUGAAUACGUUCCCGGGCCUUGUACACACCGCCCGUCAAGUCACGAAAGUUGGUAACACCCGAAGCCGGUGGCCUAACCCCUUGUGGGAGGGAGCCGUCGAAGGGGUAUGG
This 1174-nucleotide ribosomal RNA is filed under the name Arthrobacter sp. RNAcentral describes it as "bacterial SSU rRNA". It matches the Rfam family "Bacterial small subunit ribosomal RNA", at positions 288 to 1470 of the family's 1533-position model. The record is from RNAcentral. Lineage: Bacteria; Bacillati; Actinomycetota; Actinomycetes; Micrococcales; Micrococcaceae.